UACGAACCGUCCAAACGUUAUUCGGAAUCACUGGGCUUACAGAGUUCGUAGGCGGCGGAGAAAGUAGGGUGUGAAAGCCCUCGGCUCAACCGAGGAAUUGCGCCCUAAACUACUUCGCUUGAGGAGGCUAGAGGUGAGCAGAACAGAUGGUGGAGCGGUGAAAUGCGUUGAUAUCAUCUGGAAUACCGGAGGCGAAGGCGGCUCACUGGGACCUUUCUGACGCUGAGGAACGAAAGCUAGGGUAGCGAACGGGAUUAGAUACCCCCGUAGUCC
This 273-nucleotide ribosomal RNA is filed under the name uncultured bacterium. Its description in RNAcentral is "partial 16S ribosomal RNA". It matches the Rfam family "Bacterial small subunit ribosomal RNA", at positions 524 to 796 of the family's 1533-position model. The record is from RNAcentral.